UCCCAGUUCGGAUCGCAGGCUGCAACCCGCCUGCGUGAAGUCGGAAUCGCUAGUAAUCGCGGAUCAGCAUGCCGCGGUGAAUACGUUCCCGGGCCUUGUACACACCGCCCGUCACACCAUGAGAGUCGGGAACACCCGAAGCCCGUAGCCUAACCGCAAGGGGGGCGCGGUCGAAGGUGGGUUCGAUAAUUGGGGUGAAGUCGUAACAAGGUAUC
Molecule: ribosomal RNA, 215 nt
Filed under: uncultured bacterium
Lineage: Bacteria
Description: partial 16S ribosomal RNA
Rfam family: Bacterial small subunit ribosomal RNA
Source: RNAcentral